This 141-nucleotide ribosomal RNA is filed under the name uncultured eukaryote. RNAcentral describes it as "partial 18S ribosomal RNA". It matches the Rfam family "Eukaryotic small subunit ribosomal RNA", at positions 1299 to 1458 of the family's 1831-position model. The record is from RNAcentral.
UGGUGGAGUGAUUUGUCUGGUUAAUUCCGUUAACGAACGAGACCUCGACCUGCUAAAUAGUUCGGCGAAUCCUCGUGAUUCGUACGUGACUUCUUAGAGGGACUAUUGGUGUCUAGCCAAUGGAAGUUCGAGGCAAUAACA